AGAGUUUGAUCAUGGCUCAGAUUGAACGCUGGCGGCAUGCCUAACACAUGCAAGUCGAACGGUAACAGGCCUUCGGGCGCUGACGAGUGGCGGACGGGUGAGUAAUACGUAGGAAUCUGCCCAUUAGUGGGGGAUAACACUUCGAAAGAAGUGCUAAUACCGCAUACGUCCUGAGGGAGAAAGCGGGGGAUCGCAAGACCUCGCGCGAUUGGAGUGGCCGAUGUCAGAUUAGCUAGUUGGUGGGGUAAAGGCCUACCAAGGCAACGAUCUGUAGCUGGUCUGAGAGGAUGAUCAGCCACACUGGGACUGAGACACGGCCCAGACUCCUACGGGAGGCAGCAGUGGGGAAUUUUGGACAAUGGGGGCAACCCUGAUCCAGCCACUCCGCGUGAGUGAAGAAGGCCUUCGGGUUGUAAAGCUCUUUCGGCAGGAACGAAACGGUGAGCUCUAACAUAGCUCGCUAAUGACGGUACCUGAAGAAGAAGCACCGGCUAACUACGUGCCAGCAGCCGCGGUAAUACGUAGGGUGCGAGCGUUAAUCGGAAUUACUGGGCGUAAAGCGUGCGCAGGCGGUUGUGUAAGACAGGUGUGAAAUCCCCGGGCUUAACCUGGGAACUGCGCUUGUGACUGCACAGCUAGAGUAUGGCAGAGGGGGGUGGAAUUCCACGUGUAGUAGUGAAAUGCGUANAGAUGUGGAGGAACACCGAUGGCGAAGGCAGCCCCCUGGGCCAAUACUGACGCUCAUGCACNAAAGCGUGGGGAGCAAACAGGAUUANAUACCCUGGUANUCCACGCCCUAAACNAUGUCNACUANGUGU
Molecule: ribosomal RNA, 818 nt
Filed under: uncultured bacterium
Lineage: Bacteria
Description: bacterial SSU rRNA
Rfam family: Bacterial small subunit ribosomal RNA
Source: RNAcentral